Molecule: long non-coding RNA, 616 nt
Organism: Biomphalaria glabrata
Lineage: Eukaryota; Metazoa; Mollusca; Gastropoda; Planorbidae
Exons: 3
Source: RefSeq, a predicted model, not a curated record
GUGUUUGGUUUUCCUGACACGAAGAGAAAUUGUUUGGUUUGCCUUACGCGCAACGAUACCGACCCUACACCUCUUUGACCUUAUAUUUAAUUUUAACACGGCGUAGUGAUACAAUACGUCGUAUCUAUUUUUAUUAAAAAAAGGACGAGGAAUCCAUUGAUACUAUUAGUUUUUUCAUAGGUUAGACCAUUACGGAGCUAUAAAAAUUCAAAGUUGAAAAUGGCCGCGAUUUGGCUUAGGGUGUGCGACGACCCUGUUUUACUCUAUAUCUAUCAACUAUGCUAUGAUGAUUAUGAAAAUAAUCUAGAACUAGACCUAGACCAAAAAAGAGCGAAACAAAACUGAAAAAAAAAACCUGCGAAACUGAAUUAUGAAUGGAGAUUUCCAGGAGCUCCUGGUAAAUCAGGCGACCAUGAGAAAUGUAUUUUCUGGUCAUGAGGUGAACUACCACAUGAAAAGUAAAAUUGCCACAUGCAAGUCACAGUGAUAGUUACAAAUUUAGGCAUGGUCAAUGAUAUAAAUAGAUUUGGCAAUGGCAGGGGAAGCAAUCUUAGCAAUUUUUUUAACAUGUAUACAAAAAAUGUGUUAUUUGUAAAAAAAAAAAAAAAAAGUUAAA